UAGAAAGCAAGGCCAACAAAAUACCUAAAGUGAUUUCAGCAGUCUCCUCUGAUGAUUAUACUGAGAGAGGCAAGAUACGGACUGUUUAUUUCAUUUUUUGAUGUAGUAGAUUGUAUUUGCCAAAAAUCAUCAAAAUAUACAAGUUUACAUGUAGUUUUCCUUUUUUAACCUUUAAUGUUAUAAAGUUAUAACUCAAGUACUGUAGUAUUCAAAAGGUUGUGAGCCAUCACAGUAACCAUUUCUAGAAUGCUAUAUUCUGAAUGAUUGAUUGUCUGCACCUAAAUUCAUAUUGAAGUUUGUUCUUAAAUGAGGCAGUAUUGGGUGCGGUGGGUCCCUUAAGAGUUAUUUAGGUGAUGGGGCUGUGUUCUCAUGAAUAGACUAAUUUUUUUUUUUAAUUUUAGGAAUGGAUUUGCUAUAGAAGAAGUUGUGUGCUUUCAUCUCUGCUACCUCACCAGAAAUCAAGAAGAUGCUGGCACGAUGCUACUAGACCUCUGAGCCAUGAACCAAAGUAAACCUUUUUGUUUGUUUACAUUAUAGUCUUAGAUAUUUUGCAAUAAGGAAUGGAUUAAAACAUAGGACCCACCCCAUACUGUUAACAUCUCUUCCCCCUUCUCUAUUCCCUUGUCAUUCAUGUAAUUAUCUUCUUUUAUUUACGGAUUUGUGGAUUCUAUGCAUUUUAUGUAAAUAGAAUCGUAUACUGGUUCCUUUUGUUUCUGGCUUCUUUCAGAUAGUAUAAUGAUUUUCAGUUUUCAUCCAUCUUGAAGUAUAUAUCAGUACUUUUAUGGCUGAAAAAUAUUUCAUUAUGUGGAUAUACUACCACAUUUGGUUUAUAUAUUCAUUAGUUGAUGGACAUUUGGGGCUGCUGAUAGUCUUUGGCUAUUAUGAAUAAUGCUGCUUUGUACAUGUAUGUACAAGUUUCUGUAAACGCAUAUUUUCAUUUCUCUUUGGUAUGUACCCAGGAGUGAAAUCACUUGAUCAUGUUUAACUUUUUGAGGAAAAGCCAAACUGUUUUCUGUAACAGCUGUACCAUUUUGCAUUCCCACCAGUUUCUCCACAUCUUUCUCAACAUGUAUUACAUGUCAUUUUUUAAAAAUGGCUUUUAAUAUAUUGGAGAAUGUAUUGCCUAAUCCAAAGUCACAAUAACUUAUUCCUAUGCUCUCUUACAGGAGUUUUAUAGUUUUAGCUCUUACCCUGGGAUUUUGAUUCAUUUUUGCUGAUUUUUGUAUACAGUAGGAUGUCAGAGUUGAAAUUCAUUCUUUUGUAUGUGGAUAUCCAAUUGUCCCAGCAACAUUUCCUGAUAAUACUCUUUUCCCACUCAAUUAUCUUGGCAUCCUUGUCAAAAAUUAAGUCACUGUGUAUGUGUGGGUUUAUCUCUGGAUUCUUUUUUAAAAAAUAUUUAUUUUUUAGUUAUAGGUGGACACAAUAUCUUAUUUUACUUUAUGUGGUGCCGAGAAUCGAACCCAGUGCCUCACACAUGCUAGGCGAGUGCUCUACCUGUGAACCACAACCCCAGCCCUCUCUGGAUUCUUAAUUCUGUUCCAUUGAUCAAUAGGUCUGUCUUUAUGCCAGUGCCACACUGUCUUGAUUACUGGAGCUUAGUAAUAAUUUCUGAAGUUCAAAAGUAUAAGUCCUUCAACCUGGUUUUCUGUUUCAAGAUUACUUAACCUGCGUUGGGUUGCUGGAAUUUCCAUAUUCAUUUUAGAAUCAGCCUGUCAAUUUCUGCAAAAACUGUAGUUGGAAUUUUGAUACAGAUUACACUGAAUAUGUAUAUCAACUUUGGAAAUAUUGUCAUUUUAUUAUUCAGUUUUCCAAUCCAUGAACUCAGAUGUCUUUCCAUUUAUUUAAGUCAUCUUUAAUGUCUUUCAACAGUGCUUUGUAAUUUUCAGUGUACAACUUUUACACCUCCUUGGUUAAAUUAAUUUCCUAUGUAUUUUAUUCUUAUGAUUCUGCUGUAGCUGAAAUUGUUUUCUUAAUUAUUUGUUUGCAUUGCUCAUUGCUAGUAUAUAAAAAUACAAUUGAUUUUUGUAUAUUGGUCUUCCAUCUUGUGGCCUGAAUCUGAAGUCCUGUAUUAUACUAAAAAUAAAAUAUAGGAAUAAUACAACUGAAGUCCAGCUCAACUAAUGAAAAUAUUGAUUCAGAUACCAACACUCAUGAUGCCCUGACAGAAAAAUACAAUAAAGAAGGCAUACUACAGAAGAACAAAUUUAAGGUCAUCAGAUUUUUCAUCAGAAUCUAUGUAACCCAGAAUUUUGUUUUUUGCCAGGGAUUG
RNAcentral lists this long non-coding RNA (2269 nucleotides) under Marmota monax (woodchuck). The record is from RNAcentral. Lineage: Eukaryota; Metazoa; Chordata; Mammalia; Rodentia; Sciuridae.